GUGGGGAAUAUUGCACAAUGGGCGCAAGCCUGAUGCAGCGACGCCGCGUGGGGGAUGACGGCCUUCGGGUUGUAAACUCCUUUCGACAGGGACGAAGCUUUUGUGACGGUACCUGUAGAAGAAGCACCGGCUAACUUCGUGCCAGCAGCCGCGGUAAUACGAAGGGUGCAAGCGUUAUCCGGAUUCAUUGGGUUUAAAGGGUGCGUAGGCGGAGCGUUAAGUCAGUGGUGAAAUCCUGCAGCUUAACUGUAGACUUGCCAUUGAUACUGGCGCUCUUGAGUGCGCUUGAAGUGGGCGGAAUGUGCCGUGUAGCGGUGAAAUGCUUAGAUAUGGCACAGAACACCAAUUGCGAAGGCAGCUCACUAAGGCGAUACUGACGCUGAGGCACGAAAGCGUGGGGAUCGAACAGGAUUAGAUACCCCGGUAGUCC
RNAcentral lists this ribosomal RNA (430 nucleotides) under uncultured bacterium. Its description in RNAcentral is "partial 16S ribosomal RNA". It matches the Rfam family "Bacterial small subunit ribosomal RNA", at positions 354 to 796 of the family's 1533-position model. The record is from RNAcentral.